Molecule: transfer RNA, 74 nt
Filed under: Clostridioides difficile
Lineage: Bacteria; Bacillati; Bacillota; Clostridia; Peptostreptococcales; Peptostreptococcaceae
Description: tRNA-Pro
Rfam family: tRNA
About the family: Transfer RNA (tRNA) molecules are approximately 80 nucleotides in length. Their secondary structure includes four short double-helical elements and three loops (D, anti-codon, and T loops).
Source: RNAcentral
UGAGGUGUAGCGCAGUCUGGUAGAGCACAUGGUUCGGGACCAUGGUGCAGGGGGUUCGAGUCCAUUCACCUCGA